Molecule: long non-coding RNA, 1591 nt
Organism: Metopolophium dirhodum (rose-grain aphid)
Lineage: Eukaryota; Metazoa; Arthropoda; Insecta; Hemiptera; Aphididae
Exons: 4
Source: RefSeq, a predicted model, not a curated record
AGAUGAUUAUUCAAAAAUAAAUAUAAUAAAUUAUUAUUUUAAUAUUUUCUUUAGUAUUAUAAUAUUAUUUAUAUUAUUCUAAUUUCUAAUAAAAUGGUUUUUAUGUAUUAUAUAGUGACGGCUGUUGUAUCUAAGAACCCCAAAUCAUCCCGUGGCACAAUUAGAUAUGUAUCUGCAGGCAUUGGUUGAGUAUUAAAAAAACAAAUGCUGUGGCAAAUUAUAAAAUUAAAAAAAAGCAAGAUUGAUUCAUAUCUAUUCAUGGUAAAAAGAGGAGUACGCAAUUAUUAGAAGAUAUAAGUAUAUAAAAGUAAACAAAAGAUAUUAUGCUUAAUGUGGUGUCAAUCAACAGAAGAAAAACUUGACAUAUUUACUUAAAUACAAAGGCUGAUUCAUGAAAUUAAAAAAUAUCAGCCACUACUGCGAGUCAUGGCCCAUAGACAACUUUAUGGAAAAUAUAACAGACAAAUUGAAAAGUACUACCUAAUAAAAUAUUCGAAAAAAUUAAAUUCAUUGUUUUUUUACUAUUGGUUUGGUAUAUAUUUUUUUUAACUGAGAGUUAGUAGAAAAAGUCUAGGAAAAGUAAAUUUAUACAAAUGUAAAUAUCUAUAUAUAAAUAAUAUAUUUUAAAAUAUUUUAUUUAUCUUAUUAUAUGUAUAAUUAUUAGAAAAAUGAAAAAUACACUAACUUAUUUUACAAUUGUCAACUCUACUUAUUUAUUUUUAUAACUACUAAUACAUGUGUCUAAAUAUGUUUAUACUUAUAUAGAUGUAUAAAAAAAUAUGUGGAGUACCCAAACAUUAUAUUUUUUAGUUGUCAAUACCUACCAUUUAUUUAUUUAUUGUUUAAAUACCUAUAAAUAUCAAAUUGUUAAUGUUAUCUAUGGAGCGUGGCAUGUGUAAAUAUUGUUUGGGGAGAUGCCCUCUUAAAUAAAAAUAAAAUCAUUUUCAACCAUCAUCAAAUUAAAUUAUCAUAAAUCAUAAUAUACAACAUUUACGAAAAAGCUUUCAUCAAUAUUAAAGAUUAAACCAGGAAUGGAAAACGUUUUUCAUUUUUGUUUAUUGAUUUAAAAAUAUCGAUUUUGUUUAAUUUUUUUUAAAAACAUUAUUUUUUCUAUUGUUUUCAAAUAACGUUUUUAAAAACGUUAUUUUUCUAUAUUGUUUCCAAAAAACUUUUUUGAUAAUUUUGUUAUUGGUUUUUGUUUAUAUUUAUUCUUAUAACAUAUAACUUAUAAUAGUAAUAAGCAAUGCAGGAAUGCACUUAAAAAUUAAAAUUUAUUAUUAAUAUCUAAAUUUUAAAUCAAAAUUUUGAUUACAAUUUUUUUAUUACAACAAAAUAACUUAAACUAUAAUUUUUUGUUUAAAUAUCUAACUUUGUUGACAUUUGAACUGUAUUAAAUGUAAAACCUUUAGUUUUUAAAAAUUAAAAAUUGAAUGCAUUUAUAAUUAAAAAAUUUGAAACAUUUGAAAUAAAAAAAAAAAAUGACUGUAUUUUUAAAUUAAUAUAAGAACAACAUAGGUAUGUGAGAUCACUGAUCUUUAUUACAUUUUCAAGCUUUUUGACUAAACCUAAAAUGUUUUAUCAAUAUUUUAAA